AAAUCCACCAUAAUUUCUGGGCAUCAACCAGUUCUAGAAAGAAAGUAUUUGCAUCCACAGAUGCAAUACGAUGCUUAGGAAACAAUAGAAUGCCCCAUGGCAGGGGCCAUUAUAUAAACAGAAAAUACGUACAUUCUACCUUCAAUACCUCUUGUAAAACUAUACGUAUAGUAUAGCAGAAUCCACUCUGCCGGGCCACUGAAAAAACAACACGAGAAGAAGACGAGGAGACGAGCAGGAGAAGGAAAGUAAGCCGAGCCUCAGAAGAUUGCUGUGACAACUUUAGACCAAAAGCACUGUACAAAUGCUAUAAGCUUGGCUAGCAUCUCAUGGAUUUUUGUUGAUGAAGCUCAUUAAGGAAGCUUACACAUUGAUCUCCAAUUGGCAAAUUGUUAAGAAGAAAUUGCCAUAGACGACAGAUUUCAAGACAUUAGAAUUUCUGCCUUAGAUGUCUGCACCAAGCUUCCAGAUUUCUUCUAGGGCUGCUGCACCUUCUUUGGGAUGUGGAGAACCUUCCCUGAUGGCAUCAAACUGAUAUAUUUUCCAACUUCUUGGGCACAGCCACCCUGAAGCAGAGCAUCUCAUUGUUAAGAUGGCAAGCAUGAUUCAGAUGACAGAGGAAGAGGUUGCUAUACUUGCAAUUCUAGCUUUGAAGAUGGAAGUAGAAUGGGUUUCGGAAACUAUCUUUUUAAUCUAUUGCCGUGAUUUGCAUGAUAUCUAAAGCCAAAAUGGCCUUUUCUUCGCAACAAUGGAACCUCAGGAUGGAGGGUGUUCAACUGUUUCUUUCCACCUAUUUUAUAACUGUUUACUGUGUAAUAUUACAUUCUGUAAGAAAACCAUUAAACUCUAUGCGUCUAUCUUUUCCAUCUUAGAUAAAUAUUCACAUGCUUCGAUCUUCCUA
Phoenix dactylifera (date palm) is the source of this 901-nucleotide non-coding RNA. The record is from RefSeq and is a predicted model, not a curated record. Lineage: Eukaryota; Viridiplantae; Streptophyta; Magnoliopsida; Arecales; Arecaceae.